UAGGGAAUCUUCCGCAAUGGGCGAAAGCCUGACGGAGCAACGCCGCGUGAGUGAUGAAGGUCUUCGGAUCGUAAAACUCUGUUAUUAGGGAAGAACAAACGUGUAAGUAACUAUGCACGUCUUGACGGUACCUAAUCAGAAAGCCACGGCUAACUACGUGCCAGCAGCCGCGGUAAUACGUAGGUGGCAAGCGUUAUCCGGAAUUAUUGGGCGUAAAGCGCGCGUAGGCGGUUUUUUAAGUCUGAUGUGAAAGCCCACGGCUCAACCGUGGAGGGUCAUUGGAAACUGGGAAACUUGAGUGCAGGAGAGGAAAGUGGAAUUCCAUGUGUAGCGGUGAAAUGCGCAGAGAUAUGGAGGAACACCAGUGGCGAAGGCGACUUUCUGGUCUGUAACUGACGCUGAUGUGCGAAAGCGUGGGGAUCAAACAGG
RNAcentral lists this ribosomal RNA (429 nucleotides) under Actinomycetes bacterium. RNAcentral describes it as "Actinobacteria bacterium partial 16S ribosomal RNA". It matches the Rfam family "Bacterial small subunit ribosomal RNA", at positions 355 to 776 of the family's 1533-position model. The record is from RNAcentral. Lineage: Bacteria; Bacillati; Actinomycetota; Actinomycetes.